ACAACUUUUAACAAUGGAUCUCUUGGCUCUUGCAUCGAUGAAGAACGCAGCGAAAUGCGAUAAGUAAUGUGAAUUGCAGAAUUCAGUGAAUCAUCGAAUCUUUGAACGCACCUUGCGCUCUCUGGUAUUCCGGGGAGCACAUCUGUUCGAGUGU
Molecule: ribosomal RNA, 154 nt
Filed under: Hydnum sp. 17 BF-2016
Lineage: Eukaryota; Fungi; Basidiomycota; Agaricomycetes; Cantharellales; Hydnaceae
Description: 5.8S ribosomal RNA
Rfam family: 5.8S ribosomal RNA
About the family: 5.8S ribosomal RNA (5.8S rRNA) is a component of the large subunit of the eukaryotic ribosome. It is transcribed by RNA polymerase I as part of the 45S precursor that also contains 18S and 28S rRNA.
Source: RNAcentral